This 1414-nucleotide long non-coding RNA is filed under the name Mytilus galloprovincialis (Mediterranean mussel). The record is from RNAcentral. Lineage: Eukaryota; Metazoa; Mollusca; Bivalvia; Mytilida; Mytilidae.
UUUUUUAUAAAUUUAAUUGAUAUGACAGUACAUCUAUAACAAACUAAUAUCACAGCAAAUAUAACAUAUAAAAUAACUCUGAUAUACAAAACUUUGUCAAAUAUCGGAAAAGUAUUUAUGUAAUGUUAUUUGUCAUGCUGAACUUUACUUGAAAACACCAGGGCAUUAGGAGGGGAUGGGGGGCUUAAUAGUUUUGAUAUUAAUACCAAUUUAUUAGAAGUGAGUUAUAUAUUCACAUUAUUUUUAGCUAUGUUAUUAUAUAUAUAUAGAACAUGUGCAUGUAUACCAUAGGGUUCAAUUACAGGAUACAACAUUUAAAACAUAAAUAUUCUUUUUUACCCUUUUAAAGUCCCACCCCUUUCUUUUAACCUUGCAAAGUAUUAUCAUCAUAUAGCAGAAAAACCUAUAUGGAGAUUAACUAUGUGUCACUGUAGUUAUAAACAUCAACAUAUUGUGACUAGACAAACAGUUGUUUCUCAUAAGAAAUUUAUCCCCCAAAUAAUAAUUUUCACUCAGUUGUACCUAUAUUUACAAAAUAAUGAACAAAAUGGCCAACAACAUCAAAAUGUAGAUGUAAAGUUUGUUUUAACCAACUGUGAUGAAGUUCUUUUAGCGAGUGCUUGGAUAUAUUUGUAUAUUUGUAAAUAACCAUUUGAAGACUCCUAAACUGUGUUGCAAUACACAAGUUGUAACAAAAAAUUAUUAUGUAUAUUAAUAACAAGUCUUAUGCAAUUUAUCCCUUUUCAAAAAUCAAAAUGUCGUAUGAUUGCCUAUGAGAUAACUAUCCACCAAAAACAGGCUAUUAUUUGAACUUGAAAUUAUGGAAUUUGCAUAAUUUCUUGUGUUUGAUAAAUACCCUGUUUAUUCUGUAUUAUUAUGUUUUGAGCAGUGCAUAACAUUUUCCACACAAUGCAUUUUGUAUAGAUAGUGUUGUGCGCGGCACAGUGCAUUCUAUUGAAAAUGUGCUAUCUUCUUUGUAAUAGAAAGUGUUAUGCGGCGCACAGAACAUUAUAAUGCAGAAUAAACAUGGAAUUCAUUAAAAAAUUUCAAGCACAAGAAAUUAUGCAAAUUCCAUAAUUAAAAAUAAUUCCAAGUUCAAAUAAUAGCCUGUUCAAAGUUCAAAUGAAACAAAUGUAAUCAAUUAUAGGUCAUAUAGCUCUUAACAUGUUUCAGUAUUAUAUGUUUAUAUAUCUUUAGCUUUCACAGAUUUUGAGUGAUGAAGGUCAAUAAUGAAAAGUACUUUAUCUGGAAGGCAUAUGGACCCUUCUUUUUUUACUUGUUUACCUCCUUUAUUUAUAUACUAUUGUUUUAUAUUUAAAAUCUUUCAAAGCACUUGAUAUUUUGAAAAAGAGUAUCUAUAAGAACUAAUAUUGAUGAAUGUUAUUAUAUCUAAACUAAAAGUCUUCAACUUGUA